RNAcentral lists this ribosomal RNA (420 nucleotides) under uncultured bacterium. Its description in RNAcentral is "bacterial SSU rRNA". It matches the Rfam family "Bacterial small subunit ribosomal RNA", at positions 356 to 773 of the family's 1533-position model. The record is from RNAcentral.
AGGGAAUAUUGGGCAAUGGACGCAAGUCUGACCCAGCCAUUCCGCGUGCAGGAUGAAGGCCCUAUGGGUUGUAAACUGCUUUUGUCAGAGAAAAAACCCUCAUACGUGUAUGAGGCUAAUGGUAUCUGGCGAAUAAGCAUCGGCUAACUCCGUGCCAGCAGCCGCGGUAAUACGGAGGAUGCAAGCGUUGUCCGGAUUUAUUGGGUUUAAAGGGUGCGUAGGCGGAUAAUUAAGUCAGUGGUGAAAGUUUGCGGCUCAACCGUAAAAUUGCCAUUGAAACUGAUUGUCUUGAGUACAGUUGAGGUGGGCGGAAUGUAUCAUGUAGCGGUGAAAUGCUUAGAUAUGAUACAGAACACCUAUUGCGAAAGCAGCUCGCUAAACUGUAACUGACGCUGAGGCACGAAAGCGUGGGGAUCAAAC